UACGAAGGGGGCUAGCGUUGCUCGGAAUCACUGGGCGUAAAGCGCUCGCAGGUGGUUCGUUGCGUCGUGCGUGAAAGACCCCGGCUCAACUGGGGGGUGUCGUGCGAUACGGGCGAACUGGAGGCCAGUAGGGGGAUGCGGAAUUCCGGGUGUAGUGGUGGAAUGCGUAGAGAUCCGGAGGAACACCAGCGGCGAAGGCGGCAUCCUGGACUGGUCCUGACACUCAGGAGCGAAAGCGUGGGGAGCGAUCCGG
Molecule: ribosomal RNA, 253 nt
Filed under: uncultured bacterium
Lineage: Bacteria
Description: partial 16S ribosomal RNA
Rfam family: Bacterial small subunit ribosomal RNA
Source: RNAcentral